This 1428-nucleotide ribosomal RNA is filed under the name Lactiplantibacillus pentosus. Its description in RNAcentral is "bacterial SSU rRNA". It matches the Rfam family "Bacterial small subunit ribosomal RNA". The record is from RNAcentral. Lineage: Bacteria; Bacillati; Bacillota; Bacilli; Lactobacillales; Lactobacillaceae. RNAcentral also lists the same sequence under 1 other name.
CAAGUCGAACGAACUCUGGUAUUGAUUGGUGCUUGCAUCAUGAUUUACAUUUGAGUGAGUGGCGAACUGGUGAGUAACACGUGGGAAACCUGCCCAGAAGCGGGGGAUAACACCUGGAAACAGAUGCUAAUACCGCAUAACAACUUGGACCGCAUGGUCCGAGUUUGAAAGAUGGCUUCGGCUAUCACUUUUGGAUGGUCCCGCGGCGUAUUAGCUAGAUGGUGGGGUAACGGCUCACCAUGGCAAUGAUACGUAGCCGACCUGAGAGGGUAAUCGGCCACAUUGGGACUGAGACACGGCCCAAACUCCUACGGGAGGCAGCAGUAGGGAAUCUUCCACAAUGGACGAAAGUCUGAUGGAGCAACGCCGCGUGAGUGAAGAAGGGUUUCGGCUCGUAAAACUCUGUUGUUAAAGAAGAACAUAUCUGAGAGUAACUGUUCAGGUAUUGACGGUAUUUAACCAGAAAGCCACGGCUAACUACGUGCCAGCAGCCGCGGUAAUACGUAGGUGGCAAGCGUUGUCCGGAUUUAUUGGGCGUAAAGCGAGCGCAGGCGGUUUUUUAAGUCUGAUGUGAAAGCCUUCGGCUCAACCGAAGAAGUGCAUCGGAAACUGGGAAACUUGAGUGCAGAAGAGGACAGUGGAACUCCAUGUGUAGCGGUGAAAUGCGUAGAUAUAUGGAAGAACACCAGUGGCGAAGGCGGCUGUCUGGUCUGUAACUGACGCUGAGGCUCGAAAGUAUGGGUAGCAAACAGGAUUAGAUACCCUGGUAGUCCAUACCGUAAACGAUGAAUGCUAAGUGUUGGAGGGUUUCCGCCCUUCAGUGCUGCAGCUAACGCAUUAAGCAUUCCGCCUGGGGAGUACGGCCGCAAGGCUGAAACUCAAAGGAAUUGACGGGGGCCCGCACAAGCGGUGGAGCAUGUGGUUUAAUUCGAAGCUACGCGAAGAACCUUACCAGGUCUUGACAUACUAUGCAAAUCUAAGAGAUUAGACGUUCCCUUCGGGGACAUGGAUACAGGUGGUGCAUGGUUGUCGUCAGCUCGUGUCGUGAGAUGUUGGGUUAAGUCCCGCAACGAGCGCAACCCUUAUUAUCAGUUGCCAGCAUUAAGUUGGGCACUCUGGUGAGACUGCCGGUGACAAACCGGAGGAAGGUGGGGAUGACGUCAAAUCAUCAUGCCCCUUAUGACCUGGGCUACACACGUGCUACAAUGGAUGGUACAACGAGUUGCGAACUCGCGAGAGUAAGCUAAUCUCUUAAAGCCAUUCUCAGUUCGGAUUGUAGGCUGCAACUCGCCUACAUGAAGUCGGAAUCGCUAGUAAUCGCGGAUCAGCAUGCCGCGGUGAAUACGUUCCCGGGCCUUGUACACACCGCCCGUCACACCAUGAGAGUUUGUAACACCCAAAGUCGGUGGGGUAACCUUUUAGGAACCA